Molecule: ribosomal RNA, 440 nt
Filed under: uncultured bacterium
Lineage: Bacteria
Description: partial 16S ribosomal RNA
Rfam family: Bacterial small subunit ribosomal RNA
Source: RNAcentral
CCUACGGGAGGCAGCAGUAGGGAAUAUUGCUCAAUGGGGGAAACCCUGAAGCAGCAACGCCGCGUGGAGGAUGAAGGCUUUAGGAGUGUAAACUUCUUUUUUUAGAGAAGAUAAUGACGGUACUCAACUAUUAAGCACCGUCUAAUACGGUGCCAGCAGCCGCGGUAAUACGCAGGGUGCAAGGGUUAUACGGAAUAAUUGGGCGUAAAGAGUGCGUAGGAGGGGUAAGAAGUCAGAGGUGAAAGCCUGAGGCUUAACUACAGAACUGCAUUUGAAACUGUUAGUCUGGAGUGUGGGAGAGGUAGGUGGAAUGCAUGGUGUAGCGGUAAAAUGCGUAGAGAUCAAGAGGAAUACUGAUUGCGAAGGCGGCCUACUGGACCAUUACUGACGCUGAGGCACGAAAGCGUGGGGAGCAAACAGGAUUAGAUACCCGAGUAGUC